RNAcentral lists this ribosomal RNA (463 nucleotides) under uncultured bacterium. Its description in RNAcentral is "bacterial SSU rRNA". It matches the Rfam family "Bacterial small subunit ribosomal RNA", at positions 30 to 491 of the family's 1533-position model. The record is from RNAcentral.
AUUGAACGCUGGCGGCAUGCCUUACACAUGCAAGUCGAACGGCAGCACGGGAGCAAUCCUGGUGGCGAGUGGCGAACGGGUGAGUAAUAUAUCGGAACGUGCCCAGUCGUGGGGAUAACGUAGCGAAAGCUACGCUAAUACCGCAUACGAUCUAUGGAUGAAAGCGGGGGAUCGCAAGACCUCGCGCGAUUGGAGCGGCCGAUAUCAGAUUAGGUAGUUGGUGAGGUAAAGGCUCACCAAGCCGACGACCUGUAGCUGGUCUGAGAGGACGACCAGCCACACUGGGACUGAGACACGGCCCAGACUCCUACGGGAGGCAGCAGUGGGGAAUUUUGGACAAUGGGCGCAAGCCUGAUCCAGCAAUGCCGCGUGCAGGAUGAAGGCCUUGGUUGUAACUGCUUUGUACGGAACGAACGGUAGAGCUCUAAUACAGUUUGCUAAUGACGGUACCGUAAGAAUAAGC